RNAcentral lists this ribosomal RNA (253 nucleotides) under uncultured bacterium. RNAcentral describes it as "partial 16S ribosomal RNA". It matches the Rfam family "Bacterial small subunit ribosomal RNA", at positions 524 to 776 of the family's 1533-position model. The record is from RNAcentral.
UACGAAGGGGGCUAGCGUUGCUCGGAAUCACUGGGCGUAAAGCGCGCGUAGGCGGAUUGCUAAGUCAGGGGUGAAAUCCUGGAGCUCAACUCCAGAACUGCCUUUGAUACUGGCGAUCUUGAGUCCGGGAGAGGUGAGUGGAACUCCGAGUGUAGAGGUGAAAUUCGUAGAUAUUCGGAAGAACACCAGUGGCGAAGGCGGCUCACUGGCCCGGUACUGACGCUGAUGUGCGAAAGCGUGGGGAGCAAACAGG